CUUUGUUAUUACUUGCUGCGGUGUUGCAGCUGACUGUAUUCCACAGACUUCCACAGAGGAAAAACAAAUGAACCUUGGCAAUGCUAAUGCCAAUCUGUGUGGGCAUUAUAAAGCAGGCAAGUUCUUUGAUACAGGCAUAGGGCACGUAGUUGCCUCAAGCAGAAAAUAGUAUCUCGCAACAUGUUGAGCACAUGUUCUUACGAAUGUUUUAGGCUGGUAAAUAAUUGUACGUGUUGUGGUUAAAAAAAAUCCCAGGUUAACUAAGUAUAGUGACUCAAAUGCUUUUCGUUUGGGUGCAUCUUUAUUUUGCCUGUUUACACCGCUGCUUAGAAGUGUCCCAGAACAAUAGGCUGCAAAUGCUUUUAUCUGGCAGGAAAAGGCCGCCUUCAGCCACCUGCAUACUUCAGAUGAGGGGGGAUGGUUCCAAAAUGGGAACAAGAUGUCCAUAAGUGGAAUCCUUGACUUACCUCUUCUAGCAACAGUUUUUUUUUUUUUACAAGUGCAGGAAAAAAAUGUUGCCUGCUUUUCAGAGUGCAAGAGGUCAUAGGCAUUCAACACACUUGGCACACUCCUCGUGAGGAACAGGAGAGCAGUUGGCUGCUCUUUGUAUAUAUGUAUACGUGUACAGAUGCUGCGGCCUCUUUUCUACACGUGUUAUCUUUUGCCAGACUUCGUUUGUGAGUAUUACAACAUAAGAUAAAAGCAGUAUAUUCCCCCCCCAAGUUUCACAUCAGCAAUUUGAUCAACCUUCCACCCUGAGCCUUUCGACUUGGUAACUGCAGUCUGUGUAAAUGAGGAAACUGUCCUCAUCUCAGCACCCUCAGUCACAGUGUCAGCACAUUUGCUAGGGAUGGGUUGCAACGCUGCCUCUGAAAAACACGAUCUUUAAGCUCUGCAGCUUGUGGAGAUGAUCUGGUUAUCCAGUUCAGCCUUUGGUCUGGGAUGGAAAUUCCUUAUGUAGUUUCUUUUUUUUUUUGUCUGAGUAAAUGUGGAUAACGCAGCCUCUGGUUUUGCUAGAAAUACAUCUCUAGCUGACUAAUCCUGCCAGCCUACGUAAGUGGAAAACCUGGCAGCCUUGAAUAAUACCACAGUAUUUUGACACAAGUGUUUACUGAAAGAAAAAAAACAAAGUAGGCUCAAUGCUCUGACUGCAGAAGGCCCCCAAUACAAACUUAUCAGUAGAGGUGGCAACUGAAGUACUUUGGAACCUUCCUCGUUGUAGCUGUCACUACUUGAAGAGAGUUACAGUUCUUGAGUGUGAGAAAGCAAGAUUGACACAGCAGGAGUGGUAUUUUAGAGCUGGAGAAGUGGCUUGCUACAGCUCUGUUUAUUAGCCCUGGCAGAAGAAAAUUGUGAGUACAUUUUUUUUCCUUUUUUUUCCUAAUUCCUUACUGUUAUUUCCAUACCCUCCUAUAGACUCCAAACUCCUUGUAAAGCCAGUUUUAAUGUAAUAAUCUGCUAUUAACAGAGAGCGUUUCAGUUCUUCAGGCUUGCCACAGGAGCCCACAUACUUUCCCACUGGGCCUUUCUGAAUCUUUCUGAAUGUAGCAUCUCAGAGCAGGAUCAACUUUUGCACCUGGAUGGCCUGGCAGCUGCCUGGGUCAGCAGCCCUGCGUAGUGUUUUUGACAGGUACAACAGCUGCUUGUUUACAAGGAAAACCUUUGAUAGCAAUAUCAUAACUACAAAGCAGAAGAGGAGAUGUCUCUUAGCAGAAAAGAAAAAAAAAAAAAGUCUUGUGUAACAACAUCCUGUCCUUCUGCAUCUGGGCCAUCAGCUGAUUCUGGUGUUUCUUGACUCUGUAUUGUUCUUGAUGUGUCAGGAGCUGACUGCUUUCUCAAGGCCUCUCUGAAAGCAAUGUUGGUGCGUUGAUGCAAUGGCACUCUUUUCUCUCAUUCCAUGUCGGUGAAGUUCAUUGUUGGUCAUCUUGUUAAAGACCAGUGCCUGAUCUGGACUUUCAUCUUGUUAUCUUGAUGUUAUGGAUUGCACCGGAAUGCUGCUCUUACUACCACGUUUUCACCUGGUGUUACUGGUAGCUGUUGCAUGGGGCUUGAAAGCUGGAGGAAUCAAAGGUGGGCUCAGGAUGUCUCACAGGUGGUUAUCAGUCUUCUUCCUCUGAAAAUGAAUUUUUUUUUACAAUGCCUGCUCCAGGCCAAGCUGUCAGGCUCUUCUGAUUUCUGCCGACCUUUUGUCUGCCAACACCCAAAGUCAGGUGGGUGUGUGAACCAUAUCCAGCUGCAGCAGGUGAGCUGGGUGUGUUGCUCCAUCAUGAGACCCAGAUACUGAGGGAUGAUCUUGAUAGAUGGCGAGGUGUCCUGAGGGCAUGGGCCGACCAAGUUUUAGUGGGUGUUUUGUUUUUUUUUGGUUCUGUAAAGAGGGAGGCUGCCCCUAGGCAACGUGUUUGCAUGUUCCCAGGAGCAGCCAUGCAGCAGUCUGAGCUGCACACAAACAGGAUCCCAACAUUCAGGUCUCCGCCCACCGUAAACACAGUGAAGGUCAGGAAGCUUAUGUGUUUAUACUGUGAAUAUAGGAACUGCAUAAGCCUCAGGAGUUUAACGUGACAGGGACUAAAGCUAAAGGAUGUGCUUUACUUGUAGUCUGAAUGUUGAGGUUAGUAACAUAGCCACAGAAAGUAGCAAGGAGGAUCAUUUGCUAUGGUGCACUGUGUGGCAGAGGGCAGUUGCUCUAGAAGACUCUUGCUGUGUUCCUUUAGCUACUUGGCUUCUUCAGUCCUUCUGCCCAGGGAAGGCAGCUUGCAGGUUAACGCUCAGCAUGCCUUUUAUCUUAGAAACGAGUGACCAGGUGACAGAAUUAACUUAAAAGAAGAUUCUCAUUCUUCCUUCUUUGGAUGUUGCUGCGUGAUGGCUACACAACCAUACCACUUCCCAUACUGGAAUUUUUUUGGAAGUCCCGUGGUCUCUGUCCCAUCAUAGUAAUAAACCCAAUGUCUGUGUAGUCAGCCUGAUGUGCUCAGCUCCAGGGCACAGCACCCGUGCUGCUGAAGGAGUCACCUGCUGCAUGGAGCUGACCUCGAUCCCUAGAUGGAGCCUGCCAGGGGAGGAAGCAGGCCUGGAACAGAGAUGCACAAAGGUACUGCCUUGUGACAGCUUCCUGGGGGUGCAGGAGAGCACUUUCACCUUCCUGGAGGUAGGGAGAAGGAUUAAGCAUUAAGCUGGACAAGACUAAGUGGCUGCAUGCAUGCACUAAUCAAAGCUUGUAAGCAGAAAGCCGUGGAGGCUGCCCAGGGAGAUGAGUCACCGUCCCUAUUGGUGUUCAAGAACCGUGGAGAUGUGGCACUGAGAGUCACAAUUAGUGGGCAUGGUGGGGUUGGACUGAUGGCUGGACUAGAUGAUCUUAGUGGUCUUUUCCAACCUUAAUGAUUCUAUGGCUUUGUGUUUCCGGAUCCUUUCUUUUUUGUUAGUAUUUGUGUACAGAAAUGCACGUGGAGCUGUGCAUCCAUCCAUAGUGAAAGGGAUUCUUCCCUUCCCCCACCCCCUGCCCUAGAUUAAGUCCACAAGCGUCUGUGUAAAUACAGCCGGCCUCAGACUCACUUCCUGAGGGAGCCAUUUCCUGACUUGUAGGGCGCUCGAGCAAGUGCUCAUUCAUGCCAUGAAUCAUAAAGGUAACCUCCGUUCAAAGCGCUGUGCCAUGCUUUGGCUUCCUACAAAAAACGGGUUUUGUUGUUGAACACGGCCUGCUGCCAUCAGCUGUGCGCCUACCCUUGGAACUGUUCCCGUGGGGUUUUUUGAUCUAUCUUAAAAGAGUAGUUCCCAGCUGCCUGGACGAAAGGUGGCUGCUGAAGGCAGGGAGGCUGUCCGGGAGCGGUAUGUCUGCUGUCGUGCGUCAGGCAUGAUGCAUUUUUAGAGUGGUGUUAGCCCCUGCAGGACCUGUCCCUAUGUUCUGAGGUGUGCUAGAGGGAGGGCUAGUGCAGGAGCACCCGCUGCCAGCCCCUGCCUUCCCCUGAGCCCUACAGAGCUGUGGGAGGAACCAAACCCCUAUGUCUGUUGGUCUCUGGCUGAUGCACCGGGGUGCAGCCCUGGUGCCUGCCACAGAUUGCAGCCCCCGGGUGAAGAGCAGGCCACGCUUAGCGCACAGAGUUGUCUGUGGGCCAGCAGGCCCACAACAGCACCUUGGUUUUCCUUGUGAGACCCCAGCAUGGCCCUGCCAAGGGCCCAGCUCAGCUGCCUGCCCUGAGGAUGCCCAGCUCUUCCCCUGGGGCUCCCUUGCAGGACAACUGGCAACAGACAUAUCCAGGCUGGGCUCUUAGUUCUUGGUGGCAACUCAUUCUGGCCUGUGGCCCCUCUCUGGCUGCCUUCCCAGUGCUGCUCUGGCCUCUGGUCCUUCCCAGGGUAACUGGGAGAGCCGUCACGCCUUGACCUCCCCUGCUUUCCAGGUUCCUCUGCUACAGGUCCUUCAGGCUCCUCAUGUGCGGUUACUGCUGCGGCUUUUAUCACUGAUCGCGUGACUGUGUUUCCUUAAAGUGCAGGCAAUUAUUACCUUGAGAGCCAGAGAACAGUAAGUUCAGUCUUUUAUGUUCAUUUAUUUGGAACGUGGAGCUUUUCAGCUGGGUUAAUUUGUCACUGUGGCGGCCCAGUGGCCUCACUGACCUGUCCCGGGGCUGGGCUCUGUGCCAGCUUCGUACCUCCAGCUGCAUGGCUGGGCUCCCCAGAGUCCCUGUUGCAUUGCCCUGUGCCAAGGCAGCUGCCUGAGGCUGUCCCCAGCCACACAGCAGCGUCUCCUCUGCCAAGGACAGGAGGCAGUGAGAGCAUGCAAAGAAACUGUGCUGGCUCCUUUUUGUGUGUGUGUGUGUGUGUGUGUGUGUGUGUGCCUCCCUACUGUCAUUUAAGGUCCUUCAAUGGCUGCCAGUAAGGGUGGGUUUCUGGCUCCAUCUCUUCUCCUCCCUUAGUCACGGUGUCACACGAUGGCUGAGGGACCUCUGGAGGUCACCUGCUCCAACUCCUGCCCAAGCAGGGACACCCAGAGCAUGGUGCCUGGGCCACGUUGGGGUGGCAUUUGGAGAUCUCCAAGGAGGAGGCUUCAGCUCUGCAGCAGGGGGGAGGUCAUGCUGCUCCCAAAGCUAAAGCCUUGGGGGCAUUUUCAUGAGUGACUUACAGCCAGGUGAGGGCUGUAUGGCUUCUGCAGGGACUGAGGCUUUCCUUUCAUUGUUCCAGGUAACGUAUUCUUCAAGCAUUUUGAGAUUCAAACGUUUUAACUUCAGGAAAGGGAAACGAACAUGAGAUGUGACAAACAUUCCUGAAGGACAACUGUGUUGUACGUAGUAAGGUGGACAGAAGAGCGGCUCACCUCUCUUAGGGUGGGGAUUUACUUAUAGGUUUAGUCAUCAAAUCUAUUGUCCUAAGGAAAAAUGAAGAACAAAAACAAACAAAAAACAGACUAGAAAAAUGGAGCUUAAAGCAAAGAAGAAACUAACUGGGCCUCUCCGGUUAGUUACGCUGCCCUAAUUGUUUAACGUGCUCGAGCCAUUGGUUAGUUUCCCGAAAGCAAAAACUCAACACCCUGAAGUAAUUUAUUGUAUGAUAAUUCCAACCUGGUGCUUGUUUUGGAUUUACAAACGCUGUGGAAUGCUUUGCUGAAAAGAGCACCAGAUGUUUCUUAUGGUGCGCGCUUGAAGGUCACAGCUGCAUCUCGUAACUUCAUAGCAGAUGCAGCAAAGGCAAAGAUUUCCUGCUGGGUGCCGGGCUGCCAGCACGUUGUUUACCUCAAGGUGAACCAGUUUGGCGGUGAUGGGUCGUGGUGGGGCAGGAAAGAGCAGAUAGGCCUCAUGCAUUGGAGCCUCUGCCUGAAAAGGAACCAUUGAGUUUCGGAUUCCGGACUGGUAUUUUUAUGGCUUGUUUGAAGGCACCUGGCACUGCAGGAAUCGUUGGUGCUGACCCAUCGUGCCUCACUGUGGAGCAGCUGGAGGAAGGCGUUCCUGAAGCAUGGGAUUUUAUGCUUGUCAGUGGUGCCCAGUGGCAGUACCAGAGGCAAUAGGCACAAACUGCAGCACGGGAGGUUCCUUCUGAGCACUGGGCAGCACUUAUGUGCUAUGCAGGUGAUGGAGCACCAGCUAGGGCCACCCAGAGGCUGUGGGGUCUCUUCCUUUGAGAUCUCUAAAAGCUGCCUGGCCGUGGGCCUGGACAUCCUGCUCAGGGUGUUCCUGCUUGGACAGGACCUGAUGGACCCAGAGGACCCAGCAGCCUCAGCCAUCCUGUCAUUCUGCGAUUCAGUCCCUCUGAGCACAGCAUGCAUCUGCAGGGAAGGGCGCACAACAUGCAGCGCUCAGUUGCAGCGGGUUGUGGUACAGGCUCUGCGCCGCUGGCUGCCUGCACCGUGCAGGGGGACAUGGCCACGGUGUGUGGAGGCAAAGCUGGUCCUGCUGGGGCAUGCAGCAGGGAUCCUGAGGACGUCCAAUGACAGGGUUUAAAGUGUUUUGGCUUUGCGCAGCGCAAAGCAACAGCCAAGUCCAAAUGGCAAGGAAAGCAGUGCUGGGGAUGUGGUUGUUGCACAUCUUCCUUGUGCAUGCAGGGCUUCCCCUGGCCAUAGCUUCCUGCAGGUCUUCUGGUCAGAUUUUAGACAGUUUGGUGAUGGCAAGCUUGGCAUGGAAAUGCAGAAUCAUUUUACUGCUUCCCUGUACUGAGAAAGUCAUCACCUGAUGCCUAUAAAUCCUACAUUUUUGCUUAUGGUAAGGUUUUCUUCUCUGGGACUCUCUAACCUUGGCCUCAUUCACUUUCAUUUGAACUGGCUGCACUGUGUCAUGCAGUGGACUUCAUUCCCUUGGCCUUGUUUACAGUCUGCCAGGUCUUGGAGAUAGGUCAUUACAUAAGAUGGGUGUGUUUCCCUGCAGGGCUGAGGAGCAGUGUGCUGACUGCUGUUACCCAUGGAACCUUCAGCCAGUCUGGUCUCAAGGUGAAUUAAUAGAGUCUUACUUGUUUGGUGCUAGCGCUUGUUUCUGUCUCUCUGCCAGGCCUGACUGGUGCUGCUCAGGCACAAAUAACUCCCGCUUGUGAAUCCAUCAAUGUGUGGCUGAAGAGAUCGAUGGGAGGUAACAGUAAACCAGGGGAUACUUGAUAUAUCCCAAGAAUUUAUCAAUGAGAUGUCUUGUUUUGCAAAGUAAGAGCCUUCUGUUUCUGGGCUGCUCUCAUGGCCGGCCCUGCACUGCUGCAGGCCCUCUUCCUGCCCUUCCUUCCCACUGCAUUGGCAGUCCCCACAUCUCAGGGACCCCAGAGGAGACACCAAUGGGCUCGCUCUGGCACCCCCUUGGCCAUUCCCACAUUGGAUGGGUGUCUGUAAGGGCCAUUCUGGGAGUUUUUUCACUGUUUCUUUGCAGUUUGGCCUGUGCUGAUUAAGAUCAAUCUAGUAACCAAUAGAAAGUAGCGGUUUUUAAGGGGCGAGGCGUGUUUUUUUCUGUAAAUGCAGCAAAAUGUGUUCUGGCUGGGUGGUGGUAAAUGUUCUUGCAAAUCUGUGUUGGCCUGAGCCAGGAAGUUAGUCUGGGGAAAAGAGUGGAAUUCAGCUGUCCAAACUGAUUGCUCGCACCAAGAUUGAGCCCGUAAACCAAAACUGGGAAGGUUUUGUGUUUCCUCCUGUCCGUUUGUUUGCUGUUGCUGCUGUGCCAGUCACUGGAACAGGGCUGAUGGAAAGGUUCGUGGUGAUCACGAAGACCCAGAGUUGAGUUUGACCAUCAUAAGCAAAGUUAGAGGACGGCAGUUCUAAGGUGCCUUUGCAGCGGUAGUGGGAUGCCAAGUGACAACAACCAGCUUUGAAAGUCCUCCCCCUUGCACUUUAACCCAUGUGUUUUGAAAACACCUCCGCUCCUUGGGAACUCUGCUGGUGGGCGGGCAGUCACCUGCUGCUGCCCCUAUGGCCUUUCUGUGUCUAAAGGGGGGUGGUAAGAAUGAAGCAGCCAUAAGCAGUGUCUGUUGUGAUAGGACAAGGAGAAAUGGUUUCAAGCUAAAAGAGGGGAGGUUUAGAUUGGCCGUAAGGAAGAAGGGUUGUACAAUCAAAGUGGUGAGGCACUGGUACAGGUUGCCCACGGAGUUGGUGGGUGCCGUGUCCCUGGAGGUGCUUGGUGAGGCUGGACAGGGCUCUGAGCACCCUGAUGGAGCUGUGGAUGUCCUUGUUCAUUGCAGGGGAGUUGGACUAGGUUGCCUUUAAGGGUCCAGUCUAUGAUUCUGUGACCACUGCCUUGCGCUAGGGAACAAGCAGCAGACCUUGCCUCACUGCUGCCAGUUCUUCUGGCUCUGCUUGGGAGAAGGAAGAGAGCCUUGGGAACUGGACAUGUGGUUUCCUUCUGAGCGAACACAGCCAGCUCACAGCUGCUUGGUGAAUGGUGCAAACGUGCAGGCGUCCAAGUGCAAACAAACAAUCCGUGUAACUUAGAGGCAGUUCUGCAGCCAAUAUUUGUUUUGCAUUCUCGUGAGUUAACCACCCCCUGGGGCUUUUCUAUCUUAAAUCCUUAAAAUUAAACUGAGACUGGUGUGAAGAUGAAUGUUAUCUCCCUGCCCUAUUUUCAGCUGAGAGGUGUACCUGCGCUCCGUUCAGCUAUCAGAUAUGGCUGUUGUUUCUGCCUGCAAAGAGCGUGGAUCAGCUGGGCCUUGGGGGCAGGGAAGGCACGGGGAGGGAGCUGUGCCUGGGUGGCAGAGUUGCAGCCUGCUCCGAGAUUGCACAGAGAUUAAAUGCUAACUGUGUUUUGUUUUGUUUCAGAGCACCUGAUGCUUUUAUUGAAAUUACAUCCUCUUCUCUGAAAUAGAGUUCCUAAAGUCUGUUGGAGCAGCCUUGCCCGUGCAAGCGAAGCCAUGGCAGGUUGCUGCAGCACUGGGGAGGCUGCAAAGAGACCCGUGGGCCAGGGGCUGCAGUGGAAUAGGGCAUGGGGGCACAGGGUAGCACCAGGCAAGGGGCAGCUUGUUCCAUUCAGCUGUUGCAACAUUUCGGGCUCCUGAAGACACUUUGUAAGGUUUCCUCCUUUGGAAGGAGGCUGCACAUGUCCUGGUGUUUUCCCAGCACAGCGUGGGUCAGCUGGCCAUGUACCAGGCUGCAGUGUCUGGGGCAGCAUGUGGGGUCACGCAGGCACUGCUGGCUGCUCUGGGAGAGGUCCACAGCCACUCCUUGGGAGGAAGAAGAGGAGGGGAGGGGGCAGGGCUGCUUUUCUUGCACGCUUUAUGUUUUAAGUGAAAUGGACAAAAAAAUGCUCCCUCUAGGCUGUCACUAUGGCUACAGGGGUGAGGGAGCCUUGAGCAGGAAAACAGCCAGAGGGAGGGGCGGGGAGCUGUCCCUGUGUCCUUCCCCUCAACCCGAGGCUGCCUUGCCAUCCCAACCCCAUGGGAAGGUUUUACUUGCAAAGGUUUCUGGGGCUUGCUGCGCACAAAGAGCCUUUCCCCAGCGUUUCUGGGAGGGCAGGGUUACACCUCCCUGCAGGCAUUACUGUCUCUGUCUGUACACCACUUUUCUAACUUCCCCAGAGGCAGGAAAACCAUACCAAGCAAGUAAGAUAAGGCAGGAGGCUGAGAUACCUUCAGCCCACACACAAGUACAGGGCUGAAAAUAACUGGUUUGCCAAUAACGUCAAAGAAACAAACCUUAGCACUGCUCUUUAGUUCUAUGCCACAGCUCUGUUAGGGGCUGGUUUUAGAACUGCUACCACAAGCCACAUCAGAAAGGUUGCCUUUACCUCUGGGUCUGAGUGUUUAGCACAACUGCAGCUGGUUGUGUGCUCCGUUACCACUGCCUGCCCUGGUUUUCUGUGAUGCCUUCAGAGUGGAAUUCAUUUAGAAAAUAACCAGUGCCAGACUGCACUGGCAGAAGAUGAUGAGCAAGAUCUGAGAAACACUUUUAAAUUGCUUGAAAAUGCGUCUAGGCUGUUUACUUUCCUAAUUACAGUGCCUAAUUAGCAAGCUUGUUGCAUUCAGUCGUGCUGCUUUGAUAGCUUGAUUGUGCUACAGGAGCGGGGCUUGACACUGAAGCAGUUCUGUCCUAGAUAUCUAAUGAGCUAUUCAUUUGAAAACAAAAACAUUCUUAAACUACUCUACUCAGAAGCACCCCCUAGACUGACACAUGGCCACUUCUCAGAUUUAGGUGCUGGUUACCCGUGGCAGGUUAAGUCUCUUUCCUUCCUUAGAAGUGAAAGCAGCACUGGUCAAAAGAGGCUUUCCAUUGUGGGCAUCCUAUGGAGCAAGAGGACAGAAAUAGAAAAACCACAUGCAUCCACUCUCACUGGCCUUUUGGGAGAAAGGCAGGCACUGUAUUGCAAAGCAAAGUGGAUACAUUUGUUUUCCAACUUAAAAGUUGAUGAAGGAAUGGAGGAGCAGUACAGCGUUAUGCCUACAGAGCAUAUUCAUGCACACCCAACACUCCUUGUGUGGAAGACAUGAAACUGCCUAGCCAUUGCAGAAUCUUGCCCCAGCUCCUGCAGGCAAAACAAGAGCACCUUCUCUCCCUGCUGGGGAAGGUGGUAAGCAGUGCUUCACAUGUGAAAGGAUGUUUGAGUGACACAAGUGGUGGUAUCCAAACAAAGGCCAUGCAUGAGAAUUAAAGUCAGACUACCAUCAUAGAGUGAAAACUAUUUAUUCUUAUAAAAGGAAAUAAAACAAACCCUACCAGUGUGUACAUUGUACACAUUUGAAUGACACUUACAAGAAUGAAGUUUUCAUAUACAAAGAUUACAAGCCCACACUGGUAAAGGAUGGAUACAAGCACAUAUUCAACUUGAGAUGCCUCCACUCCAGCUCACAGUACCAAUUACUCUAUGACCACAGUUGCAUAGUAUUAGCAUCCACACUAUUUUAUUCCACUAUGAACACAGAAAGCAAGAAGGAGUUUUAUUCAGAGAGCAUGUAUAUUCAUUUGAAGAGUUUAGUCGCUGGAACCUUCUCUCACUACUCUUCUGUUGCCAUCUUCAAGAGAUACUCUUUGUCGAUUUUGAAGAGCCUCCAGCCCUCUUCAGUGGACAGAUCAGAGGCACCCCUUCUCUUGUAGAACCUGAUGGAGGGCUCAUUCCACUCUGCAACUAGGAAGUGCAUACUGCUGCAGCGGCACUUGACAGCAACCUGACUCAAAUUCUUCAGGAUUUCUGAUCCAAUGCCAAGUCCUCUGUACUCAGCCAUCACAUAGAAAUCUUCAAGAUACAACAGCUUUCCAAUCCAUGGAUCGUAAGUGAAGUAAUACAUAGCAAAGCCCACAAUGCUGUGCCCUUCGGACGACCACUGUUCUUUCGGCACCUCCGCAACGAGACAGUGGUAGAACGGGUGCUCGCCAAAGCCGUCCUCAAGCAGCUCUUUCUCGGUUAGCACCACUUGAUCCUCCAUGUCCUCGUACUUGGCUAGUUCCUUGAUCAGUCGCAGCAGGUCGGAGCAGUCCUCGGGACGCGCGGCGCGGAUACUGAACGAAGCCAUUUUCGACGGCGUUUCCCCCUGCGGCCCCCUCGGCUGACGAGUCCCCGGUGUGUGAACAGGAGGAGCAGCUGUUUCUUCAUUCGUGUCCCGGGCGCGGCGGCCACCUGCGGUCAGUCAGGCUGCGAGCAUGUCCCGGCGGCGUUCAGCAGGCAGACGACUCACCCACCGACUUCGGCGACGGCUGGAACUCAACUGUGCCUCCGCCGGCGUCUCCGCCUCCAUUUAUAGACGACGGCGCUCCGCCUCCCCCGCACGAGAGCCAAUGGGAGCGCCCGCAGCUCUCGCCCCCAGCCAAUGGCAGCGCCCCUCCCCGGAAUCUUGCCUCGCCCUGCCAGCAACAGCUGCUGCGGAUGUCUCGUG
This 11742-nucleotide long non-coding RNA is filed under the name Gallus gallus (chicken). The record is from RNAcentral. Lineage: Eukaryota; Metazoa; Chordata; Aves; Galliformes; Phasianidae.